GCACCUAGUUUACACCUAGAAGAUUUCACACAAAAUGACCACUUUGAAACUAAACAUAGCUCAAAAUAUACUAUAUAUAUAUAUACAUAUAUAUUACCACCCCAAUAACAUUAAAAUAAAACAUUCAUAACAAUUAAAAGUAUAGGUGAUAGAAAUUUUACAUGGCGCUAUAGAGAAA
Molecule: ribosomal RNA, 178 nt
Filed under: Myotis grisescens (gray myotis)
Lineage: Eukaryota; Metazoa; Chordata; Mammalia; Chiroptera; Vespertilionidae
Description: partial 16S ribosomal RNA
Source: RNAcentral